This 465-nucleotide ribosomal RNA is filed under the name uncultured bacterium. Its description in RNAcentral is "partial 16S ribosomal RNA". It matches the Rfam family "Bacterial small subunit ribosomal RNA", at positions 338 to 795 of the family's 1533-position model. The record is from RNAcentral.
CCUACGUGAGGCUGCAGUGGGGAAUAUUGCGCAAUGGGCGAAAGCCUGACGCAGCGACGCCGCGUGAGGGAUGAAGGUCUUCGGAUCGUAAACCUCUGUCAGCAGGGAAGAACGGUCACUGUGCUAAUCAGCAGUGAAUUGACGGUACCUGCAAAGGAAGCACCGGCUAACUCCGUUCCAGCCGCCGCGGUACUACGGAGGGUGCGAGCGUUAAGCGGAAUUACUGGGCGUAAAGCGCUCGUAGGCGGUAUGUCAAGUCAAGGGUGAAAUCCCCGCGCUCAACGUGGGAACUUCCUUUGAAACUGGCAAACUGGAGUGUGUGAGAGGAUAGUGGAAUUCCAGGUGUAGGAGUGAAAUCCGUAGAUAUCUGGAGGAACAUCAGUGGCGAAGGCGACUAUCUGGCACAUAACUGACGCUGAGGAGCGAAAGCGUGGGUAGCAAACAGGAUUAGAUACCCUUGUAGUC